Non-coding RNA from Pangasianodon gigas (Mekong giant catfish), 73 nucleotides. The record is from the annotation of a GenBank genome assembly. NCBI's taxonomy places the organism in Eukaryota, Metazoa, Chordata, Actinopteri, Siluriformes, Pangasiidae.
AGCAUGGUGGCUUAGUGGUCAGCACACUCGCCUCACACCACCAGGGUUGGGGGUUCGAAUCCCGCCUCUGCUC